GGGACCGUAGUCUAGUGGCAUGAUACAUGCUUAGGGUUGAAAUUCCUAACUUGCAUGUGGUCCCGGGUUCGAUUCCCGGUGGUCCCC
Gonapodya prolifera JEL478 is the source of this 87-nucleotide transfer RNA. It matches the Rfam family "tRNA". From Rfam's summary of the family: Transfer RNA (tRNA) molecules are approximately 80 nucleotides in length. The record is from Rfam. NCBI's taxonomy places the organism in Eukaryota, Fungi, Monoblepharomycota, Monoblepharidomycetes, Monoblepharidales, Gonapodyaceae.